GUCGUAGUGUGAACGUAGUCAGGUCGUAAGAAGAGCGUGAUGAGGACGGCAAGGGCGUGCUACAAUCGUACUAUGGUCGUGAACAGCGUGGUGUAGUCGUAGUGGAAGCGUAGUUGGGUCGCAGUGAGAACGUGAUGGUCGUCGUGAGGUCGUGAUAACGUCGCUGUGCGAUCGUAGCGCAGUCUCUCCGAAUAGAAUCACGCGUUCGCUACGCUCUCGCUACGAUUGUACAGCGACCGUUGCGAUCUUACUACGAUCUGAGUGCGCUCUCACUACGCUUCUACUACGACCUGAUUUCGCCACGACCGCACCACGAUUGUUUUGAACAUGUUCAAAGUUGGCCACGCUCUUCAC
This 354-nucleotide long non-coding RNA is filed under the name Mytilus galloprovincialis (Mediterranean mussel). Lineage: Eukaryota; Metazoa; Mollusca; Bivalvia; Mytilida; Mytilidae. The record is from RNAcentral.